UGGGGAAUAUUGGACAAUGGGCGCAAGCCUGAUCCAGCCAUGCCGCGUGAGUGAUGAAGGCCCUAGGGUUGUAAAGCUCUUUCACCGGUGAAGAUAAUGACGGUAACCGGAGAAGAAGCCCCGGCUAACUUCGUGCCAGCAGCCGCGGUAAUACGAAGGGGGCUAGCGUUGUUCGGAUUUACUGGGCGUAAAGCGCACGUAGGCGGACUAUUAAGUCAGGGGUGAAAUCCCGGGGCUCAACCCCGGAACUGCCUUUGAUACUGGUAGUCUUGAGUUCGAGAGAGGUGAGUGGAAUUCCGAGUGUAGAGGGGAAAUUCGUAGAUAUUCGGAGGAACACCAGUGGCGAAGGCGGCUCACUGGCUCGAUACUGACGCUGAGGUGCGAAAGCGUGGGGAGCAAACAGG
Molecule: ribosomal RNA, 404 nt
Filed under: Actinomycetes bacterium
Lineage: Bacteria; Bacillati; Actinomycetota; Actinomycetes
Description: Actinobacteria bacterium partial 16S ribosomal RNA
Rfam family: Bacterial small subunit ribosomal RNA
Source: RNAcentral